UCCCAUGUGGUCUAGUGGUUAUGAUUCGUGGUUUCCACCCACGAGGCACGGGUUCGAUUCCCGGUGUGGGAA
RNAcentral lists this transfer RNA (72 nucleotides) under Angiostrongylus costaricensis. It matches the Rfam family "tRNA". Rfam says of the family: Transfer RNA (tRNA) molecules are approximately 80 nucleotides in length. Their secondary structure includes four short double-helical elements and three loops (D, anti-codon, and T loops). Lineage: Eukaryota; Metazoa; Nematoda; Chromadorea; Rhabditida; Metastrongylidae. The record is from Rfam by way of RNAcentral.